AACAUAAGUGGCACACAAUAUCACUUUGAAAUGGCAUGCUAUAGAUAUGACCGAUACUGUAUGUACAUCUUACACCUAUCUAUGCAAGCCAUGCGAUUACAAAACAUUAGUUUGCUAAUAAAUGCUAGUCUUUGUCUAACAUAUUUCACAACAUCUUUCUGUUAUAAAAAUUAUAUAUUAAUUAUUAUUAUUGCUCAGUAGGAUUCUAGGAUGUAACGUAUGUAUGUAUUCAACUUCGUAAGAUAAAACACGAUAAAUUCCGAAAACACCGAAUAAUAUCGAAAAACUCCGAAGUAUACCGAAAAAACCAAUGAUAAAAUAUUUCGAAAAGUAAAAUGCGAAAAGUUCCGAAAAAUCUUAGGGAAAAAAAUUUUAUAUUCUAACAGCCUGAUUCUCUAUCUCGAAACGAGCGUUCGUCUCGUCCAAACACCCGUUUGUUCGUGUAUUUGUACUACUUAACACGAAUUCGUUACCCUGGCGAUAACUAGUCAAUAACAGCUGAUUGUUAUGUGACGAAAACGUAACACGAAUACGACUUCAAAUAAAGAAAUAAAGUGUCAAAUUCAAACGAAAGAAUUUUUGCUAUCGUGUGAGCCGCUAAAAUGGAUAUCUCAAGCCAAAAAGGCAAGAAAUAAUCGAAAAAACAUUCGUAUUAUUAUAAUUAAUUGUUUAGUAUAUUUUACAGUGCUUCAAAAACUUCCAGUGCUCAGUUCGAUGUGCUGGUAAAAGAGCUGGAGAAAAAAUCCCGACUUGGCAAGAGGCGCCCCAAUGUUUGGUGCGAGUAAGAGCCUGGUAGAAACUACAGUGGAAUGAAUUAGCCAAUAAAUUAAACGCACAUGGACGUCCACAAAGAACAGCUACCGAAUGGAAAAAGAUUUGGGCUGAUCUUAAAAGCCGCACAAAGAAGAAAAUUGCGGAAAAUGCGUCCAACAUGCAUGCCACAGUUGGUGGCCUCUGAAUCCGCAAUUCGUGUUGGUCCGAACGUUCGCUUGCAAGAAAUGCUAUUGCUUGAUACAUUUUUAAAUAACUCUAUUAAAAUAUUGUAUUUUUGAACUUUAAUACACAUAAAGUAAACAAAACAAUUUUGACAGAUCUUUUCGGGCGAAUAACGUAAUAACGUAAGGAUGGACGAAAAUUAUCAUUUGAGAUAGAGACUUCCGAAUUCAGACGAUUUCGUUUGGACACGAAUCGUUGUUCGUCUGGCUGUUCGUUCGAUAUAGAGAAUCAGGCUGUAAAGCUCCGAAAAACUAGCAGUGUCAAAUAAUAUCCGCAUGCGCUGAAAGAUACCGAAAGAUCCCGAAAUAUAAAACAACAAGAAACCCGGGAAGAUUUCGAAAAGUCCAGAAAGAUCCCCAAAAAUCCCUAAACUGCGAAGAAUAUCGAAAAAAUUCGUAAGGUACGGAAAUAUUAAUGAAAACAACUCGAAAGAAAAAACAUGAAGCACCGAAAAUUCCGAAAGAAAUUAAAAGUUAAGAUAAAUUCCGAAACAGCUUAAGGAAGAACAGGAGCAUUCCGAAAACUGCGAAAAAAAAUCCAUGAGAAUUCCGGCCACUUCCAAUAGUUAGCGAAAUCCACAUUACAACCGACGAAAUGAUCCCGAAAAAUAGUAACUAUUAAAAAACCUUAAAAAACUAGCAAUGUCAAAUACCGUCCAAAAAAUCGUAAACCGUUCCGAAAACUAGCAAUGCCAAAAAACACUACAUGAGCAGAAUUUGUAACGCAGUGACAAGAUUUUGCUGCAGAUGGUAACUGCAACUCUGUCUACGCAUUAACAGGCUUUGAACUUCAUCAACAGUCUCUUGGUGAAUGAACACAAUGCCUGUCUGUACACUUUCGAGUCAAAAAUUUGUUUAGCUUACGUAAAGUUGGUAGAAACGUCUUCCCGAUGAACAACAAAGCUGGCACUGCUUGCUGAAUAAAGUGUAGAGUUUGGUCAUUAAACUACUCUACAUCUCUCUCCUGGACCAGUUGCUGAAAUACGACGGAUACAAUGUUUACCGUCGAGAUCGCGAGCGAGAUAAUGGUGGUGGCCUAGCGUUCAUUACGCAUCACACCGCGCAGUAUCGUCUCAUAGAAGCAGGCAUCGACCGCAGGGAUACCAUCCUAUGAUGUCAGGGUAUUACUAUCAGGUCAGGCGUUGUCGAGCUCGAAAUAUUUAACGUUUAUAUACCCCCUGAAAUAGGUGCGCUCUUCAAAGGUGAAAACCAAAUGGUAAUCGGUGACUUUAACGCGUACACCGAUCUUUGGCAUGGAAUGAUCGUAGGGCAACUCUAUUGGCUAAGCCAAUACGCGAUUCGCCAUUCUGCAAAAUGAACGACAACGCACCCACCAGGAUUAUGGGCAUCAGUUCGAUGCAGUUCGCCCGACAUAACAAUCGCAAGCGCUGGUCUGAUAAACCGCAUAACGUGGCGACCUAUGCUGAUCUAAGCAUCAGACCAUCUGCCCAUAGUCAUCUCGAUUGAUAAACCUGCCGCCUUUGCUUUCGCGGAACACCGAACCUAUAUCAACUUCUCUAAAGCUGAUUGGAACGGCUUCGCGUAAGUUACUGAGAGUAGGUCCUCUGUCCUCCCCACACCAACCAAUGUUAACGUAGGUUAGCGUAAGUUCCGCAGUGUUGUCGCUGCUGCUGCAGCCCGCUUCAUUCCUGCCGGAUGAGUUUUCCUGGCGAAGCGGCUGUUCUAGCUGAUAAGCGCGACAACCUUCGUCAGGCCGUUCCCGGAAACCCCCGCAAUAGGGAUCUCAAUACGGAGAUACACCAGCUUAUGAACGUACAUAAGUGGAAGAAGUGGGUAGAGCAUCUGAAGACUUGCAACUUCAACUCUGGUGUGAGCAAGCUUUGGUCAACCGUGAGCUCACUUUCCAACAAGACGAGCGUUACAGAGCCGAAAUCUCUUUCAGCGACCGCGCUUCUUCGGACCCGGAGCAAUGCGAGAGCUACUUUAGCCGAUAGUUUACGCUGCAUCCUCCGGCGGACAAAGUCAAACGCCGAGUUACCAGAUAGCUGCACAAACUGCCAUACCUAGUACGUUAAGACGAAAGCCUCCAAAUCCAUAGGACCCGACGGAACAUGCAUCCUGAUACUGAAAAAAUUGGGUCCUGCAGGAUUAAACUACCUUACCAAGGUCCUCUACACCGGAUAUCUGAAAAAUGGAGAGAAUGGUCCCACUGCUCAAACCCGUGAAACCGGACAACAAGGGAGAGUCUUAUCGUCCGAUACCCUUUCGCCGGUAGCGAAGACACUUGAGGCCUUGCUACUCAACAUGGGUUUCCUAAAAUACACAGCAAAAUAACCGCUCCUUUGAGAGAACAUUCCUAGUAGUGUUAGAUCUGUCGAAGGCGUUUGAUACCGUCAGUCCACGCUACCAGAAGACAUUGAGGCUUCCUCUCUUCCACAGGGACUCAAACGGUGGUCAGUGAAUUAUCUGAGUGGUCGGCAUUCGUCAGUAAUUUUUAGUGACAAAAC
This is a long non-coding RNA of Rhagoletis pomonella (apple maggot), 3463 nucleotides long. RefSeq lists it as uncharacterized. NCBI's taxonomy places the organism in Eukaryota, Metazoa, Arthropoda, Insecta, Diptera, Tephritidae. The record is from RefSeq and is a predicted model, not a curated record. The transcript has 2 exons.